ACGACGCUGGCGGCGUGCCUAACACAUGCAAGUCAACUUGACUGAAGGAGCAAUCUGACAGUAGAGUGGCGCAAGGGUGCGUAACGCGUAAGUAACUUGCCCCAAGGUAAGGAAUAACGUCGAGAAAUCGGCGCUAAUACCUCAUAAUGCAGCGGAUCCGCAUGGAUAUGUUGUUAAAGGUUUACCGCCUUGGGAUAGGCUUGCGUCUGAUUAGCUAGUUGGUGUGGUAACGGCACACCAAGGCUACGAUCAGUAACUGGUCUGAGAGGAUGAUCAGUCACACUGGAACUGAGACACGGUCCAGACUCCUACGGGAGGCAGCAGCGAGGAAUAUUGGGCAAUGCUCGAAAGAGUGACCCAGCAACGCCGCGUGGAGGAUGAAGGUAUUCUAUAUCGUAAACUCCUGUGAGAGCAGACGAAAGACAGAUUAUUAAUCUGGAUGACUGUAUGCUCAGAGGAAGCCCCGGCUAACUACGUG
Molecule: ribosomal RNA, 478 nt
Filed under: uncultured bacterium
Lineage: Bacteria
Description: bacterial SSU rRNA
Rfam family: Bacterial small subunit ribosomal RNA
Source: RNAcentral